GUGGGGAAUAUUGGACAAUGGGGGGAACCCUGAUCCAGCCAUGCCGCGUGUGUGAAGAAGGCCUUUUGGUUGUAAAGCACUUUAAGCGAGGAGGAGGCUACCGAGAUUAAUACUCUUGGAUAGUGGACGUUACUCGCAGAAUAAGCACCGGCUAACUCUGUGCCAGCAGCCGCGGUAAUACAGAGGGUGCAAGCGUUAAUCGGAUUUACUGGGCGUAAAGCGCGCGUAGGUGGCCAAUUAAGUCAAAUGUGAAAUCCCCGAGCUUAACUUGGGAAUAGCAUUCAAUACUGGUUGGGUAGAGUAUGGUAGAGGAUGGUAGAAUUCCAGGUGUAGCGGUGAAAUGCGUAGAGAUCUGGAGGAAUACCGAUGGCGAAGGCAGCCAUCUGGCCUAAUACUGACACUGAGGUGCGAAAGCAUGGGGAGCAAACAGGAUUAGAUACCCCGGUAGUCC
RNAcentral lists this ribosomal RNA (451 nucleotides) under uncultured bacterium. RNAcentral's name for it is "partial 16S ribosomal RNA". It matches the Rfam family "Bacterial small subunit ribosomal RNA", at positions 354 to 796 of the family's 1533-position model. The record is from RNAcentral.